GCACAAGCGGUGGAGCAUGUGGUUUAAUUCGAUGCAACGCGAAGAACCUUACCUGGUCUUGACAUCCACGGAAGUUUUCAGAGAUGAGAAUGUGCCUUCGGGAACCGUGAGACAGGUGCUGCAUGGCUGUCGUCAGCUCGUGUUGUGAAAUGUUGGGUUAAGUCCCGCAACGAGCGCAACCCUUAUCCUUUGUUGCCAGCGGUCCGGCCGGGAACUCAAAGGAGACUGCCAGUGAUAAACUGGAGGAAGGUGGGGAUGACGUCAAGUCAUCAUGGCCCUUACGACCAGGGCUACACACGUGCUACAAUGGCGCAUACAAAGAGAAGCGACCUCGCGAGAGCAAGCGGACCUCAUAAAGUGCGUCGUAGUCCGGAUUGGAGUCUGCAACUCGACUCCAUGAAGUCGGAAUCGCUAAUAAUCGUGGAUCAGAAUGCCACGGUGAAUACGUUCCCGGGCCUUGUACACACCGCCCGUCACACCAUGGGAGUGGGUUGCAAAAGAAGUAGGUAGCUUAACCUUCGGGAGGGCGCUUACCACUUUGUGAUUCAUGACUGGGGUGAAGUCGUAACAAGGUAGCCGUAAAUCUCUGGAAGAUCCGCG
Molecule: ribosomal RNA, 600 nt
Filed under: uncultured Bacillus sp.
Lineage: Bacteria; Bacillati; Bacillota; Bacilli; Caryophanales; Bacillaceae
Also listed under: 1 other name
Description: bacterial SSU rRNA
Rfam family: Bacterial small subunit ribosomal RNA
Source: RNAcentral